This 864-nucleotide ribosomal RNA is filed under the name uncultured bacterium. Its description in RNAcentral is "bacterial SSU rRNA". It matches the Rfam family "Bacterial small subunit ribosomal RNA", at positions 8 to 916 of the family's 1533-position model. The record is from RNAcentral.
AGAGUUUGAUCCUGGCUCAGAACGAACGCUGGCGGCAGGCUUAACACAUGCAAGUCGAUCGCUCUUUUCGGAGAGAGAGGCGCACGGGUGAGUAACACGUGGGAAUAUGCCUUGGAGUACGGAAUAACUGAGGGAAACUUCAGCUAAUACCGUAUACGCCCUACGGGGGAAAGAUUUAUCGCUCCAAGAUUAGCCCGCGUCCGAUUAGCUAGUUGGUAGGGUAAUGGCCUACCAAAGCGACGAUCGGUAGCCGGACUGAGAGGUUGAACGGCCACAUUGGGACUGAGACACGGCCCAGACUCCUACGGGAGGCAGCAGUGGGGGAUAUUGCACAAUGGAGGAAACUCUGAUGCAGCAACGCCGCGUGAGGGAAGAAGGUCUUCGGAUUGAAACCUUUGUCCUUGGUGACGAAACAAAUGACGGUAGCCAAGGAGGAAGCUCCGGCUAACUACGUGCCAGCAGCCGCGGUAAUACGUAGGGAGCAAGCGUUGUCCGGAUUUACUGGGUGUAAAGGGUGCGUAGGCGGCUCUGCAAGUCAGGCGUGAAAACUAUGGGCUUAACCCAUAGACUGCGUUUGAAACUGUGGGGCUUGAGUGAAGUAGAGGUAGGCGGAAUUCCCGGUGUAGCGGUGAAAUGCGUAGAGAUCGGGAGGAACACCAGUGGCGAAGGCGGCCUACUGGGCUUUAACUGACGCUGAAGCACGAAAGCAUGGGUAGCAAACAGGAUUAGAUACCCUGGUAGUCCAUGCCGUAAACGAUGAUUACUAGGUGUGGGUGGUCUGACCCCAUCCGUGCCGGAGUUAACACAAUAAGUAAUCCACCUGGGGAGUACGGCCGCAAGGUUGAAACUCAAAGGAAUUGACGG